GAGUUUGAUCAUGGCUCAGAACGAACGCUGGCGGCGGGGCUUAGGCAUGCAAGUCGCGGGCGAAAGUCGCAAGAUGAGUAGACCGGCGUAAGGGUGAGUAAUAGGUAGUUAACGUACCCAGAUGACGCGGAUAAUAUCCCGAAAGGGAUGGUAAUACGCGAUGAGACCACGGUUCCUGCGGGAACAGGGGUCAAAGGGCGGGGAUCCUUCGGGACCUGUCGCAUGUGGAGCGGACGACCUCCGAUUAGCUAGUUGGCGGGGUAACGGCCCACCAAGGCGAUGAUCGGUAGCCGGGCUGAGAGGCUGUCCGGCCACACGGGCACUGAGACACUGGCCCGACUCCUACGGGAGGCUGCAGUCGCAAAUUUUUCUCAAUGGGCGCAAGCCUGAAGAAGCCACGCCGCGUGCUGGAUGAAGGCGCUAUGCGUUGUAAACAGCUGUCAGGGAAGGGGAAUGCGUGCUAUGAAUAGUGGUACGUUUGACUGC
Molecule: ribosomal RNA, 486 nt
Filed under: uncultured Planctomycetia bacterium
Lineage: Bacteria; Pseudomonadati; Planctomycetota; Planctomycetia
Description: bacterial SSU rRNA
Rfam family: Bacterial small subunit ribosomal RNA
Source: RNAcentral